UACGUAGGGAGCAAGCUUUGUCCGGAAUCAUUGGGCGUAAAGCGCGCGUAGGUGGCUUCGUAAGUCCGUUGUGAAAGUCAAAGGCUCAACCUUUGAAAGCCGAUGGAUACUGCGGAGCUAGAGUACGGAAGAGGCGAGUGGAAUUCCUGGUGUAGCGGUGGAAUGCGCAGAUAUCAGGAGGAACACCAAUAGCGAAGGCAGCUCGCUGGGACGUUACUGACACUGAGGCGCGAAAGCGUGGGGAGCGAACAGG
RNAcentral lists this ribosomal RNA (253 nucleotides) under uncultured bacterium. RNAcentral's name for it is "partial 16S ribosomal RNA". It matches the Rfam family "Bacterial small subunit ribosomal RNA", at positions 524 to 776 of the family's 1533-position model. The record is from RNAcentral.